UUUGACCUCAAAUCAGGUAGGACUACCCGCUGAACUUAAGCAUAUCAAUAAGCGGAGGAAAAGAAACCAACAGGGAUUGCCUCAGUAACGGCGAGUGAAGCGGCAAAAGCUCAAAUUUGAAAUCUAGCACCUUCGGUGUUUGAGUUGUAAUUUGAAGAUGGUAACCUU
Molecule: ribosomal RNA, 168 nt
Filed under: Hansenula anomala
Lineage: Eukaryota; Fungi; Ascomycota; Saccharomycetes; Phaffomycetales; Wickerhamomycetaceae
Description: Wickerhamomyces anomalus partial 28S ribosomal RNA
Rfam family: Eukaryotic large subunit ribosomal RNA
Source: RNAcentral